AUUGAACGCUGGCGGCAGGCCUAACACAUGCAAGUCGAACGAGUGGCGGACGGGUGAGUAAUGUCUGGGAAACUGCCUGAUGGAGGGGGAUAACUACUGGAAACGGUAGCUAAUACCGCAUACCAUCGGAUGUGCCCAGAUGGGAUUAGCUAGUAGGUGGGGUAACGGCUCACCUAGGCGACGAUCCCUAGCUGGUCUGAGAGGAUGACCAGCGACACGGGAACUGAGAAACGGUCCAGACUCUAACGGGAGGAAGCAGUGGGGAAUAUUGCAGAAUGGGCGAAAGCCUGAUAGAGCCAUGCCGGGUGUAUGAAGAAGGCCUUAGGGUUGUAAAGUACUUUCAGCGGGGAGGCGUUAGCGGAAGAAGAAGCGCCGGCUAACUCCGUGCCAGCAGCCGCGGUAAUAC
RNAcentral lists this ribosomal RNA (406 nucleotides) under uncultured bacterium. RNAcentral describes it as "partial 16S ribosomal RNA". It matches the Rfam family "Bacterial small subunit ribosomal RNA", at positions 29 to 526 of the family's 1533-position model. The record is from RNAcentral.